This 350-nucleotide long non-coding RNA is filed under the name Capsicum annuum. RNAcentral's name for it is "long non-coding RNA (CANN_LNC003186)". The record is from RNAcentral. Lineage: Eukaryota; Viridiplantae; Streptophyta; Magnoliopsida; Solanales; Solanaceae.
UUUGUGAUUCUAAUUUUGAUAUUUCAUCUUUUUGUGUAUUUAUUGAAUUUUUACUAACUCCGGCAAAUAUAUUAUAAUGUAGUCUUUUUAUUCUUAUUUUUAAUUCUUUACGUUUUUCAGAGAUAAUUUGUUUUAAUUCUUUAUAUUGUUGUAUUUUAUUCAUUUUAAAUUAUAUUUAUAAUAUCUUGGUGGAUAUCUAAAUCUAAUUUUAUCAUAAUUAGGUGGUAUAUAUCUCAUUCUUCUGGAUUUUAAGUGUGUUAUUAAUUUUGAUUCAAUACUAGAUAUUAAUGUAAUUAAGUAGGCUAGUUUUUGUGGAUUUUCUUUUGUUUUAUUUAAACUUAUAUAUUCUG